GGUUAGCGUUCGAUGUUUCUUCUGGGGGUAGAGCACUGGAAGGUUUAGAUAGGGGGAAACUUCACUAAACCUAUCAAACUCCGAAUACCAGAAAUUAAAGUCGGACAGUUAGACUGUGGGGGCGAAGCUCCAUUGGUCAAAAGGGAAACAGCCCAGAUCUCAAAUUAAGGUCCCUAAAUUUACACUAAGUGCACUUAAGGAGGUGAAAUUUCUCAGACAGUGAGGAGGUUGGCUUAGAAGCAGCCAUCCUUUAAAGAUAGCGUAACAGCUCACUCAUCUAGAGAACUUGCGCCGCAAAUAAUCGGGGCUAAAGUGUAGUACCGAAGCUGAGGGUUUGUGCAUUUCAUAGAGGAU
Molecule: ribosomal RNA, 354 nt
Filed under: Candidatus Woesebacteria bacterium
Lineage: Bacteria; Candidatus Woeseibacteriota
Description: partial 23S ribosomal RNA
Rfam family: Bacterial large subunit ribosomal RNA
Source: RNAcentral